Molecule: ribosomal RNA, 492 nt
Filed under: uncultured bacterium
Lineage: Bacteria
Description: partial 16S ribosomal RNA
Rfam family: Bacterial small subunit ribosomal RNA
Source: RNAcentral
AGUGAACGCUGGCGGUAGGCCUAACACAUGCAAGUCGAACGGCAGCACAGUAAGAGCUUGCUCUUACGGGUGGCGAGUGGCGGACGGGUGAGGAAUACAUCGGAAUCUACUUUUUCGUGGGGGAUAACGUAGGGAAACUUACGCUAAUACCGCAUACGACCUACGGGUGAAAGCAGGGGAUCUUCGGACCUUGCGCGAUUGAAUGAGCCGAUGUCGGAUUAGCUAGUUGGCGGGGUAAAGGCCCACCAAGGCGACGAUCCGUAGCUGGUCUGAGAGGAUGAUCAGCCACACUGGAACUGAGACACGGUCCAGACUCCUACGGGAGGCAGCAGUGGGGAAUAUUGGACAAUGGGCGCAAGCCUGAUCCAGCCAUACCGCGUGGGUGAAGAAGGCGUUCGGGUUGUAAAGACGUUUUGUUGGGAAAGAAAAGCAGCAGGUUAAGACCCCGCUGUUCUGACGGUACCCAAAGAAUAAGCACCGGCUAACUUCGUG